AAAUGUACUUACGCAUUAGGGUGACCAC
RNAcentral lists this small RNA (28 nucleotides) under Bombyx mori (domestic silkworm). RNAcentral's name for it is "ovarian small RNA-10174". The record is from RNAcentral. Lineage: Eukaryota; Metazoa; Arthropoda; Insecta; Lepidoptera; Bombycidae.